CUUCUACUACAACAACAACAAUAACAACAACAAUUAUUACUUUUUCUUCUUCUUCUUUUUCCUCCUCCUCUUCUUCUUCUUCUUCUUCUUCUUCUUUUUCUUCUACUUGUACUACUGUUACUACUAAUACUUCUACUACUGUCACUGCUCGAUCAUAUUAAAUAAUCGGUGUCGACACACUGACAAUUAUUCUUCUUUACUAUUACUACUACUACUACUACUACUACUACUACUACUACUACUACUACUACUACUACUAUUACUAUUACUAUUAAUACUACGACGACCCAGACGACGAAAUUAGUAACAACCGGCAACAGAAACAAGCAGAGAACCACAGGAAUAACGACGACGACAAUCGUGACCGAGGACUCUAUUAUACGAGAACGUCGUUAUCGUGCCGGUUUGAAAAAAAAGGAUCUCUUUGGGAAUCCUGGACUGUCGGUGGUUCUUCUUCUUCGUGACUGAGAAAGGAGUAAAAGGAAAGGAAAAAAAGAGGAAAAGGAAGGAGAGUGCAGUGCGUAUCUACUUACCUGUUUUAUAUCCUCCUCCCCUGCCACGUCAUGCAUGGCCGGUGAAAGUUCGCUUCAACGAGUGCAUUGAUCUACUGAAGUUAAGAGAGCAGAGGAACGCAGGUGACGUAAAUCGAGACGACGGCGUACCGGAGAGAGAAAGCUUCGAGGAAGCUAGAGGAGGAGGAGGAGGAGGAGGAGGAGGAGGAGGAGGAGGA
Vespula pensylvanica (western yellowjacket) is the source of this 730-nucleotide long non-coding RNA. RefSeq lists it as uncharacterized. The record is from RefSeq and is a predicted model, not a curated record. The transcript has 3 exons. NCBI's taxonomy places the organism in Eukaryota, Metazoa, Arthropoda, Insecta, Hymenoptera, Vespidae.